Long non-coding RNA from Corvus hawaiiensis (hawaiian crow), 2207 nucleotides. RefSeq lists it as uncharacterized. Lineage: Eukaryota; Metazoa; Chordata; Aves; Passeriformes; Corvidae. The record is from RefSeq and is a predicted model, not a curated record. The transcript is spliced from 3 exons.
AUAAAGGCUUUAGUGGAGGGAGGUGGCUACAGUCUCGUGGUCCAAACCCCAAAGAAUUUUUUUAUUUUCAUGUCCUUGGCUUCAGGGACAGUGCUGUGUGAGCAAGGACUAGAAAAAGAAUGAGAACAUUACAAGCCUUCCCCACAGUCUUUGCUGGUAACUGAAUCAAGACAGAUUUCAACCAACUGCAUGACAGCAGCAUCAUCAGCCUGCAAUCCACUGAGGCUUUCUCAAAGGCCCUCCAAUGGCUUUGCAGUUCCUGAUGACAUCCAAACAUCAAGGCAAGGAUGCCGUGUUUCUAUCGGACACCAAAGGAGGUUUGCAAAACAGGAGGCUCCUUCUUCCCCACUCUCUGGGGGUUUCCGUGUCACUGAAUGAGAAUGAAUGAUGAGCUGCUGUUUGUCAGAUGCAUUUGUUGUUUCUAUGAGUUAACAACUGUUUGGAUUUCAUCCCUUUUAGAGAUUGGCUUCAAGUGAGGCAUGAGUGGGAUGCAAAAACAAAAUAGAAAAUCUGGAACACCUUCUCUUUUGCCUCCCCAAGGUAAAAGUCCAGGUAGGAGGGGAUGUUUGUGUAGAAAAAUGUUCCCAAAAGCACUACUUGUUAAGCACAUCAGAACCACACAGCACUGAUCCCUGUAAAGACAAGACACUAAAGUUGUGCAUAGUUGCAAGGUGGAAGCGAAGACCGAGUUAAGCAAAACCCAGCAAAAUAAUAUCUGGCAAUAUCUUGCCUUUGAGAGAAUGUGCACAGGUAUGGGAUGAACACAUCUUGCCUGACAGAGACAGCCUCUUCUUUAAAAGGUGCUCAGCACUAAUGUGCCUGUUGAGAAAAAUCCAGAGCACAGGGGUUACCUGGUUUGCAGGCCUAUUUCUGAGGGAGCCUUGUGAGCUGAGAAUUCUUUGACAUGUUAAAAGAAGAAAAGAAAGUUCUGCUGAUUCUAUGCCUCCUUAUAUUUACAUAUAUGAAAAUGAAAAAUGUUACCUGGGGAAAGAAGCAGUCAGUAGAAAACUAACAAAAAAAUUAAAAAUAUGAAUAUAAAAGAAAGCACUUCUUUUUUUCCCACCAAUUAAGAUGGAAAGGUAUCUGUACAGCAUCACAUGCUCUAAAAUCAUGUAACAGAACUGGCAUCCCCCAUUAGCUCAGUGCCAGACUAACCGGGCACUUCAGACCUUCACAUCCUUAAGUGCUGACCCUGAAACCUAGCCAGAUCAGGGUGUUGAAAAAACCCAAGUAUUCAAGGUUUGGGACAACAACUUCUAACCCCAGAGUCUUUACAUUAAAUUCAUGUCCAAACAAAGCCAAAUUUCCAUGAACAAACCUUUCUAUUGGUUAUUCCCAUUUCCAUACAGUUAUUUCAAAUUACUUUUUCCCAGCUUUAUCAAGUUUUCACCAUUCCAAACUCUGAAUUUGCUUCAGAAGAUUCUCAGAUACACGAUAAUUCUUCUCAGUUUACUAAUUUUUACUGUUAGGUCUACAGUAAAAUAUUUCCUUUGUUAAGUGCCAAAAAACAUACAGAUCCACCUGUGGAGGGAAGCUGUGGGAUAACCCAGUACAUUUCCCUAGAGUUUCUUAGCCAGUCUUGGUCUACAAGGUAUAAAAUCUGAAAACCUUCCUCCUCUGUGCAUUAGAACAUGACACAGCUGUUUGACACUCUGUCUUUGCUAAGGUCAUUGAAAACUGAGGUUUGGAAGAGAAUGCAAAAAGCUAAACUUGCACCACGUGCUUUGGUUGCAGCCUGGCUGAGGAGUGCUGUAAGACUCGAGGGUGUUUUCUGAUCUCCUCAAUGGAACCAUCUGACAUGGAUGAAACACACUGCAUGUCACAAGAGCUGGAAUGAUGGAACCUAUGGGAUAGACAAGUUAAUCUAGUAACAAUUAAAACACUUGUUGAAGUAGUCCAGAAAAAGCAUAGAGAAGAAGAAAAAUACUAGAAAAUAAUAUUGUACUACAAAGUCUUUUGGGUUUUUUUUAAUACGUACACCAGGUAUGUAAACUUUUCUAGCUGUAAAGAAGCUCGGCUUCAUCAGGCUUGUGAAACCAGUUUGGUUGCAGAGUUUCAGAGGCAUCCUUAGGCAUCUCAGGCAUACAUACUCAUAAUUUUCCUGGCUUUCUCUUGAUUUUACCCUUUUAAAUGCAUUUUCAGGUCUCACUCUACCUGAAUAGUGUUUGUGAAUUAUAUGCCAAGCAACAUUAAAAUGCAUAAAAUUG